GCCACCUCCCCCGCACGCCCCCUCGGCCGCUCCCCUCCCCCACCUCGCAGCGUCCCGUCACCUCCCUCUCUCGAGGUGCUCGCGCUGGACGUCGCCGCCGCCUCCCCCUUCAAUUUCCUUCCCCGAGCCCUCCGCGGCCCCGCCCGGCCCCGCCCCGUCCCGCUCGCCUCCCCCUCCCCACUCCGCCGCCCCGCCGCCUCACUCUCGGCUCAGGCUCGGCGCCGCCAUGUUGGAUCCAUCCGCGCCGCCCUCCCGGCCCGUCGCGCGCCGCCGCAUCCGGGCUCCGGCCGCCGCCGCCGCCGCCGCCGCCGCCGCCGCCGCCGCGGGCGUGGGGGAGGGGGCGGCCUCGUCCUGAGCAGCGCCUCCCGGAACCUGGCCGGUUAGCGGCGGCUUCGAGGCCAUAGCGAGGCAUGAGCCGGGGUGGCCAUGCUGGGUGAGGGCAGCCUGGCAGCGGCAUGAGCCGGGGCGUGGAUAGCUUCACUUGGGGACGCGACGCUAGAGGCUGGCAGCCAUCUUGCUUUGGGGCAAGCGGGCGCCGCCGGUUCUUCCCGGCGGGGGCGGCGGCGGUGGCGGCUCGGGGGCCGCGGGGGGAGGGAGUGAGGGUGGCGGUCUCGGGUGCGGGAGCACUGGGGGCGCCAGAGCUGGCUGCCGUCGGCCUCGACACCCAUCGAGAGACUGGGACUAGCGGCCAUGACUCAUGAGGGCGGAAUAUUGCCAGGGUCGCGCCGCCCGGCGAACUCCGGGGAAGGUUCACGGAGGUCGGGCUUUGACCUUUGCCCCGAGCUUCCGGUCAACCCGGACGUGCCGUAAACCGCGGUCGGGGCGGAAAGCGCUGCCCGGGGGCUCCUCGGCUUUCGUCCUGGGAGCACCCGCUUCCCAAAGGGAGCGUCGCCGGAGCCGAGUCGGGGGCGUCGGGGACGUUCUGGAGCUGCCGGCGGCCCGUGGCGUAGAGGAGAGGCCGCGAGCGGGGCCCGUGGGAACGCCAGGCCCAGAGGAGCUUGCUGCCUGGGCGCUGGCCGAGGGGCGGCCGCGUGCUGGGGGCGGUGCGCGCGUGUGGCCCGGGCGGCCGCAGCCUGGACGCGGGGAAGACGCCCGAGAACUAGGGGAGCGCCUGGAGCUCGAGACGGAGGCAGAGGGCGGCCCAAGGGGCCCCGAGAAGGGACAUCCCGGAGCCGAGCAUCCGUGGAACUGAUCCAGGCGUUAAAGGGAUGCCUGGGUGGCUCAGUGGUUGAGCAUCUGCCUUCGGCUCAGGGUGUGAUUCCAAAGUUCCUGGAUCAAGUCCUGCAUUGGGUUCCCUGUGAGGGGACCUGCCUCUGCCUCUUCCUGGGUCUCUGCCUCUAUUUCUCCUG
Molecule: long non-coding RNA, 1349 nt
Filed under: Canis lupus dingo (dingo)
Lineage: Eukaryota; Metazoa; Chordata; Mammalia; Carnivora; Canidae
Description: lncRNA (ENSCAFG00020000893.1)
Source: RNAcentral